This 460-nucleotide ribosomal RNA is filed under the name uncultured bacterium. Its description in RNAcentral is "partial 16S ribosomal RNA". It matches the Rfam family "Bacterial small subunit ribosomal RNA", at positions 338 to 795 of the family's 1533-position model. The record is from RNAcentral.
CCUACGGGAGGCAGCAGUGAGGAAUAUUGGUCAAUGGACGAGAGUCUGAACCAGCCAAGUAGCGUGAAGGAUGAAUGCCCUAUGGGUUGUAAACUUCUUUUAUAAAGGAAUAAAACGAGGCACGUGUGCCUUGUUGCAUGUACUUUAUGAAUAAGGAUCGGCUAACUCCGUGCCAGCAGCCGCGGUAAUACGGAGGAUCCGAGCGUUAUCCGGAUUUAUUGGGUUUAAAGGGAGCGUAGAUGGGUUGUUAAGUCAGUUGUGAAAGUUUGCGGCUCAACCGUAAAACUGCAAUUGAUACUGGCAGUCUUGAGUAGAGUUGAGGUAGGCGGAAUUCGUGGUGUAGCGGUGAAAUGCUUAGAUAUCACGAAGAACCCCGAUUGCGAAGGCAGCUUACUAACCUGUGACUGACAUUGAUGCUCGAAAGUGUGGGUAUCAAACAGGAUUAGAUACCCCUGUAGUC